GACGAACGCUGGCGGCGUGCUUAACACAUGCAAGUCGAACGGUGAAGCGCCUUCCUUUUUGGUGGGUGUGGAUGAGUGGCGAACGGGUGAGUAACACGAGAGUAACCUGCCCCCUUCUUCUGGAUAACCGCAUGAAAGUGUGGCUAAUACGGGAUAUUCUGGGUCUGUCGCAUGAUGGGUCUGGGAAAGAUAUUGUUUCGGUGGGGGAUGGGCUCGCGGCCUAUCAGCUUGUUGGUGGGGUGAUGGCCUACCAAGGCGGUGACGGGUAGCCGGCCUGAGAGGGUGGACGGUCACACUGGGACUGAGACACGGCCCAGACUCCUACGGGAGGCAGCAGUGGGGAAUAUGGCACAAUGGGCGCAAGCCUGAUGCAGCGACGCCGCGUGCGGGAUGGAGGCCUGCGGGUUGUGAACCUCUUUCGCCAGUGAAGCAGGCCUGCCUCGUUUGUGGGUGGGUUGACGGUAGCUGGAUAAGAAGCGCCGGCUAACUACGUG
RNAcentral lists this ribosomal RNA (494 nucleotides) under uncultured bacterium. Its description in RNAcentral is "partial 16S ribosomal RNA". It matches the Rfam family "Bacterial small subunit ribosomal RNA", at positions 28 to 507 of the family's 1533-position model. The record is from RNAcentral.